This 29-nucleotide non-coding RNA is filed under the name Homo sapiens (human). The record is from RNAcentral. Lineage: Eukaryota; Metazoa; Chordata; Mammalia; Primates; Hominidae.
UUUCUGAGAGUUUGUGUGGCACUGGUAAA